This 21-nucleotide non-coding RNA is filed under the name Caenorhabditis elegans. The record is from RNAcentral. Lineage: Eukaryota; Metazoa; Nematoda; Chromadorea; Rhabditida; Rhabditidae.
AGCUUACCUGUAAUGACCCAC